UCUCCUGGAAAACGGGUGGUAAUGCCGGAUGCUCCGACUCCUCGCAUGGGGUGUCGGGAAAGAUUUCAUCGGUAUGGGAUGGGGUCGCGUCCUAUCAGGUAGUCGGCGGGGUAACGGCCCACCGAGCCUACGACGGGUAGCCGGCCUGAGAGGGCGACCGGCCACAUUGGGACUGAGAUACGGCCCAGACUCCUACGGGAGGCAGCAGUGGGGAAUAUUGCACAAUGGGCGCAAGCCUGAUGCAGCGACGCCGCGUGCGGGAUGACGGCCUUCGGGUUGUAAACCGCUUUUGAUCGGGAGCAAGCCUUCGGGUGAGUGUACCUUUCGAAUAAGCACCGGCUAACUACGUGCCAGCAGCCGCGGUAAUACGUAGGGUGCAAGCGUUAUCCGGAAUUAUUGGGCGUAAAGGGCUCGUAGGCGGUUCGUCGCGUCCGGUGUGAAAGUCCAUCGCUUAACGGUGGAUCCGCGCCGGGUACGGGCGGGCUUGAGUGCGGUAGGGGAGACUGGAAUUCCCGGUGUAACGGUGGAAUGUGUAGAUAUCGGAAAAGAACACCAAA
Molecule: ribosomal RNA, 557 nt
Filed under: Bifidobacterium pseudocatenulatum
Lineage: Bacteria; Bacillati; Actinomycetota; Actinomycetes; Bifidobacteriales; Bifidobacteriaceae
Description: bacterial SSU rRNA
Rfam family: Bacterial small subunit ribosomal RNA
Source: RNAcentral